This 102-nucleotide Y RNA is filed under the name Microcebus murinus (gray mouse lemur). Its description in RNAcentral is "Y RNA (ENSMICG00000045955.1)". It matches the Rfam family "Y RNA". From Rfam's summary of the family: Y RNAs are components of the Ro ribonucleoprotein particle (Ro RNP), in association with Ro60 and La proteins. The record is from Rfam by way of RNAcentral. Lineage: Eukaryota; Metazoa; Chordata; Mammalia; Primates; Cheirogaleidae.
GGCUGGCCCAAAGGUGGUGAGUUAUCUCACUUGAUUGUUCACAGUUACAGAUUGAACUCCUUGUUCUACUCCCCUUCUCAAACUGCACUUGACUAGUCUUAA